This 296-nucleotide ribosomal RNA is filed under the name uncultured alpha proteobacterium 322ev. RNAcentral describes it as "partial 16S ribosomal RNA". It matches the Rfam family "Bacterial small subunit ribosomal RNA", at positions 9 to 332 of the family's 1533-position model. Lineage: Bacteria; Pseudomonadati; Pseudomonadota; Alphaproteobacteria. The record is from RNAcentral.
GAGUUUGAUCCUGGUUCAGAACGAACGCUGGCGGCAUGCCUAACACAUGCAAGUCGAACGGAUGUAGCAAUACAUUAGUGGCGCACGGGAUAGUAACGCGUGGGAAUCUGCCUCAUAGUCCGGAAUAACAUCGGGAAACUGGUGCUAAUACCGGAUACGCCCUUCGGGGGAAAGUUUUUCGCUAUGAGAGGAGCCCGCGUUGGAUUAGCUAGUUGGUGAGGUAAUGGCUCACCAAGGCGACGAUCCAUAGCUGGUCUGAGAGGACGAUCAGCAUCACUGGGACUGAGACACGGCCC